This is a non-coding RNA of Oryctolagus cuniculus (rabbit), 6112 nucleotides long. Lineage: Eukaryota; Metazoa; Chordata; Mammalia; Lagomorpha; Leporidae. The record is from RefSeq and is a predicted model, not a curated record.
GUUGUUUUUAGGACAGUUAUUAUACAAGGAAACUCCAAAAAGUCCAUGAAGAAUUUGCAUUAUCUUUUAACUACAUUUUUUCAUGGACUUUUUGAACCUAUAUUUGUAUAGAUCUUUUCUUUGUCUUUAAAGCUUUCUUCCGCUGCCUAUGUUUUCUCUGUUUCUUCUAAAUUCUUUUUUUCUGUUUGUUUUCCACAUUGCGGGUUUUGUUCAUAUGCCUGGUGAUAUUGCUGGGUCAGGGAAGAUGAAUUAUAAGAAUUCCAUUGGUCAUGCCAGAAAGAGCAAGGAGGAUAUGGAGAUGCAGUGGAGCAUAAUGUGAUAUAGCAAAUUCAUGGAUCCUAAGUCAUGUUGCUUGCUACCAAGGAACCUGGGUAUUUGAAUUCAGACUUCAACACUACAGAGGAAGAGCUCACAAGCCUAAAAAAUUCUGCUCAUCCCUCAAGGCCAACGUUGGAUGCCUCCUAUCUGAUAUUUCUUUGUGAGAAAGUUUUCUCGGGAUUUCAACUGUUAGAAGCCACAGUAAGCAGAGAGUGACGAAUAGAAAGUGUGGGCAACUUAAUGAAAAAGAGCCUGAACUUCACCCACAACCUUAUCAUUACAGUAAGUACAGCACCCUGUGUGAUGAUGCACCAGGGACUUGAGUAAUUGACUGUGAUAAUUUUUUCAUAUAUAAAUACUUUUGAGAUCAUUGGUCAAGCAUUUUUCCAUUUCCCUCAUUGGUGAUUGGUAAGUCAUUAUUCCUUUCAGGUCCCACAUUCUUUUUAAAGAUUUAUUUAUUUGAAAUGCAGGGUUACAGAGGAGAAGAAGGAGGGAGAGAGGGGGAGAGAGCAGGAAGGGAGAGAGGGAUAGAGAGAGAGGGAGAUCGUCCAUUUGCUGGUUCAUUCCCCAAAUGGCUUCAAUGGCUGGGGCUGGGCAAGGCUGAAACCAGGAGCCUGGAACUCUAUCCAGGUCUCCCACAUGGAUGGCAAGGAUCCAACAACUUGGGCCAUCUUCCUCUGAUUUCCCAGGUGUAUUGGUAGGGAGCUGGAUUGGAAUUGGAGCGCCUGUGGGGUUCGAAUCACCUCUCAUGUAGAAUGCCAGUAUUGCAGGUGAUGGCUUAACCCACUGCACUACAGUGUCAGCCCUCGUGAUAAGGUUAACAAAACCAGCUCUUGUGCCUAGAUUCUGAUUUUAAUUUACACUUGUUUUUUCAAAGCUAGAUUUUCUGAAUAAAAUGUAGCUACAAAGCUGUUAUAUACAGUGGAAAUUAUGUUGAGAAUAUUUAACACUUUUGGAGUCAAGAUCAUUUUGAAUUUGAAAUGAAAGACAGCCAUAUAUUCCACCUUAUAUGGCUCUUUGCAGAGGUUUCUGAUAUUCAAUGAAGUCACUGAAAAAUCCACAUUAGCGGAAUAAAAAAUCAUGCCAAUUUGUUCUAUUUCAGAUACAUUUUAAUAUAGUACCAUAAGCAUCAAUAUUGGAAUUUUUACUUCUCCAACCUGGUUAUACAAUAUUAGAUAUCAUCAUUUUUACUUUCUGUUUAAAUAAAAAGUCAAAUGCAUUUGCAGAAUAUUCAAAAAAGCUUGUGGAAAAUGUGUGUUGUCAAACAACUAUGCAUGAAUUUCAAAAUUAUUUUGAACCAAAAUCAACUUAUCUUUAAAUUCCAUUUUCUCAUGAACUUUUUGAAGUCCUCUCAUAUUUGAAAAUCAUUUCACUUGGCUUUUCUAGGCAAAAACAUAUUCUAUAUAUUCUGCACACCUCAUCCUAGAGUUAUACCAAAUAAUAAGUAAAGCAUGUUAUCGAAUGAUCUUUCUGUCCUAGUACAGUCAACUUCUUAGGAAUUUCUUGUCAUUUCACCUGAAAGCUUAGCAUUUGGAAAAAUACAAGUCCACAAAGGAUUUUCAAUAUUAGUUUUUAUUGGCAUCUCUGUAUUUCUAGUUUAAUUUUAAAGAAACCAGGGCAAUGGAAAACUAAGAACCAAUAUCUUUCUGAUGUGUGAUUACAAAAAGGUCUAGCAUUGGACUCAGGAGGUAAGUAAAUGCAAUACUUUAUAUUAUUCUGUCAAUACUGACUGUUAGGAAAUUGUUACUUUCAAUGAGGGCUGGUGUCCCGUGAAGCAGCUUUAGUAAUAAAACUCUACAACCCUGUUGACUAAACACUUUUAUUUUACUUUUUAUUUAAUAUUCUUUUCCUUUCUCAAUUUCACGUUGUCCUUUCUUCUUUUGCCCAUAUGCACUUGUCCUUCAAAUUUUUUUUUGUUUGUUUGUUUGUUUUCCCAGGGACUAUGUUUUCUCUGAGAUACACUUUUUUUUUUUACUCUAACCCCUUUGAAAACAUUUCCUGAUUCUCCAUGUAUUCCUGAUCUGUCUCAAAAACUGAAUAACUGAAUUGAUAAAUUUUUCAGAGUGUAAAAUCUAAGAGAAAUGAAGGGAAAUAGGAAGAAAAGAACAAAUUGGAGCCUCCAUUUUAGAUCCUUGUGCAAAUAGCAAGAUAUAAUUAACUGUAUAGUAAUAUAGUCAAAUUCUCCUAAUUUCCAUGCCUAUCACAUUUAUUUCUAUUUAACCAGAAAAGUUUAAAUGGGAGAACUAAAACUUAUAUUCAUAGGUACUUAAAAUAUCAUGGUUUUAAUCCAGCCUUCUAAAAAGUAUCAUGGAUCUCUGACCCGUGUCUUUCCCACAAAUCUUUUUUUGUGUGUGUGUGAAUUCCACUUCCUGAAGAGUUUUAUUAUACUUAUGAUUAGGCCUGAUUUGCCAUCUUUUCUGCCCCAUGGCUCUAAGAUAAUCUCUUCAUAUGAUACUAUGGAGAUCAUCGGACUUUCACAGUUAGCUUUUUAAUUAUUGAUUUACCCAUUUUUGUGUUGCAUUGAUUUUUAAUUUCUUUAGAAAAUUAUUCCUAUUUGAAAGGCAGAAAGAGAAACAGAUCUUCUAUUUGCUGGCUCACUCCCCAAAUGCCCACAAGAAUUGGGACUGGGCCAGGUCAAAGCCAAGAGCCCCAAACUCCAGCUGAGCUUCUCAUGUAGGUGGCAGAGACACAAAUACUUGAGUCAUCACCUGCUGCCACCCAGGGUGCUCAUUAGUGGGAAAUUGGAUAAAAAGCACUGUAGCUAGGACUUGAACUAGGCAUUCUGGAUAUGGGAUGCAGGUGUACCAAGUGGCAACUUAGCCAUUCCACUGAACACCUGUCCUGGUGUUGCAUGGCCUCUACCAUUGCAAAGCCCCCAAUAACAGCCACAUAAUCCUUCAAUCCUUAAAAUAAGUAUUCUCUCUAUAAAUCUCAGAUGCUUGAGAUAUUGUCCCCACUAUCUUAUUCUUCUCCACUAAUAUUCCACAUGAGUUUACCACUGAUGAAAGUUUUAACAAUUAUACCACCACAACAUAGUCCCUGGGACUUUCCAUUAUUACUACCAGCAUUGGGGUAUUUACUGUCAGACAACAUGCAGGUGAUCCAGCUCUAAAAUCUCUCUUUAGAAUCUACUAUCUAGCAUCACUUACUUUAUGAACUGUCACUGGUUAGAUUUCCAAAGAAACAAACUCUGAGACUCUGGGAUUUGCACACAAAUUUAUUGGGGAACACUCUUAUAAAAAAUGCCUAUAGGAUAACAAGGAAAAUCAGACUGGGAAGAAGGAGAGAUUAAAUUAUGAUACAGGACCAACAGCUUCAAACAAUCCAUCAGAAAAGCUCUGAAGUUGGGAUAGUCUUUUAGAGAUGCUUCACCUCAAGGUAAGAAAGCCAUAUCUGUACACCGGCAUUAACCACUCGUGAAAUGCACCCUUGAGGAAUUCAGUGCCCUCUGGCCAAAGGUAAGUCCUAGAGGCCACAGCUGUGACCUGUCAGUAGCUAACAAUCCAGGCAAGUAGUACAAUAAUUGAUUCUUUCCUGAGAGGAUAUCUGGGUGACAUCAUGCAAUAUCUACUAUAUCUAUAAUAUACAAAGAGACUUAUAAGUAAAUUAGCAAAGAUAGUUUUCAGUGAAAAUUCAAUUCACAGAAAAGGACAUACAUAUGGGAAAAUAUGAAAAGAUGCUCAUCUUCAUUGGAAGUUAGGAAAGUGCAAAUAGAAACAACAAGAUAUUUUGUUCAUUUGUCAGAUAUAUAUAUUUUAAAAUACUGAUAACAGUGGUGAUGAGAAAACACAGAAGGAGAUGCUUCAUGUGUUGCUAAUGGGAAUGUGUCUAGGAACAUAACUGAACAAAUUGGACAAUGUUUAAUAGAACUAAAAUGCAAAAUAACAUGCCUGUUUGCCCCCAAUGAAUUUAUAGAUUUAAUGUACUCCCCCCAAAAAAAGCUUGUAAAAAUUGACUAGCUGAUCCUAAACUGCAUAUAGAAAUGGAAAUGGUCAAAAAUUACUGAGGCUAUUUUGAAGAAUAAAAACAAUUGGAAAGCUUUUCUUAUCAGUAUGAGUACUUAUUAUAAAGACACAGGAAUUAAGAUUGGAUGGUAUUGGUAUAAUGAUAAAUUAUUAGAUAAAUGGAAUAGAACAAAAAGUCCAGAAACUGAUCAUCCAGAUAACCACAUACAUGGUCACCCAAUUUACAACAAAGGUGCCAGCCACUGAAAUGCAGGGAAAAUGGGUGGGCAUCUCAAUAAAUAAUGCUUACCCAAUUAAAUAAAUUUUCCUAUGAAAAAAUAAAUCUUGACCCCAAGUUUGCCUGGUAUUAAAAAAUAAACUCCCUGAAUGUGAAAGACAAACCAAUAAAGUUUCUGAAAUAUCAUUGUCCACAAGAAUUUUCUGAGAUGAGCUGGAAGUUCCCUCCCUCUGUGCCAUAUGUGCUUACUGACCACUUGGAAUUUGGCUAAGGUGACUAAGAAACUAACUUUUAAUUUAACUUUGGUUACUUUAAAUAACCACAUGUGGCUACCAUAGUGGAUACCACAAUUCAAAAAGAUAACUCAAAAGAAUACCUGUGAUGAUUAUUCAGUGUUUCAACUUCCCAGAAUUCCCUUUCUAGUAUGUUUCUGGGGUUGCAAGCUAUGAGGAAGAUGCUUAGAAGAGAUAAAGAAUAAAGGGAAGAUAGCAGCCAUUCUGUAGCACACAUAGGCCUUCUUCGAGUUAUUCAAUCAAACAUUAAACUGGGUGCUGUUGUAAAGGUAUUUUGCAGAUGAGAUUCAAGCCCAUAAUCAGUUGACUUUAAGUUAAUCAAAAGGAACAUCACUUCUGUGUGCCUGAUUUAAUAAGAUGAGAGUUUCAAAUGAAGAUAAAUGUCAAAAAUGAGGCAUAUAAUGUGUAGCUUCCUCUCUUUUUAAAAAGAUAUUAUGCUGAAUAUUGCUUUUUAAAAGUUUUAUUUAGUAAAUAUAAUUUUCCAAAGUACAGUUUAUGGAUUACAAUGGCUUUUUCCCCCAAAAAACUUCCCUCCCACACACACCCCUCCCAUCUCCCACUCCCUCUCCCAUUCCAUUCACAUCAAGAUUCAUUAUCUUUAUAUAGAGUAGAUCAAUUUAGUAUAUAUUAAGUAAAGAUUUCAUCAGUUUAACCCCACAAAGAAUACAAAGUGCCAAAUACUGUUUGAGCACUAGUCAUAUCAUUAAUUCACAUUGAACUACACAUUAAGGACAGAGAUCCUACAUGGAGAGUAAGUGCACAGUGACUCCUGUUGUUGACUUAACAAAUUGACACUCUUGUUUAAGGCGUCAGCAAUCUCCCUAGGCUCUAGUCAUGAGUUGCCAAGGCCAUGGAAGCCCCCUGAGCUCUCCGACUUUGAUCUUAUUUCAAUAAGGUCAUAGUCAAAGUGGAAGUUCUCUCCUCCCUUCAGAGAAAUGUACCUCCUUUGAUGGCCCAUUCUUUCUACUGGGAUCUCACUUGCAGAGACCUUUCAUUUAGGUGUUUUUUGUUCUUGUUUUUUUGUUUUUGUUUUUGUUUUGCCAGAGUGUCUUGGCUUUCCAUGCCUAAAAUACUCUUAUGGGCUCUUCAGCCAGAUCCGAGUGCCUUAAGGGCUGAUUCUGAGGCCAGAAUGCUGUUUAGGACAUCUGCCAUUCUACGAGUCUGCUGUGUAUCCCACUUCCCAUGUUGGAUCGUUCUCUUCCUUUUUUAUUCUAUCAUUUAGUAUUAGCAGACACUAGUCUUGUUUAUGUGAUCCCUUUGGCUCUUAGACCUAUCAGUGUGAUCAAUUGUGAAUUGAAAUUGAUCACUUGGACUAGUGA